This is a long non-coding RNA of Gadus macrocephalus (Pacific cod), 1520 nucleotides long. RefSeq lists it as uncharacterized. The transcript has 2 exons. The record is from RefSeq and is a predicted model, not a curated record. NCBI's taxonomy places the organism in Eukaryota, Metazoa, Chordata, Actinopteri, Gadiformes, Gadidae.
UGACCUGUACCCCAACAUGUGAAAUGCAUCAGUCUGAAAGAAGAUCCUCAUGUUCACAGUGAUGUGAGCUCAGGGCAUGCUAAAUGUCUACGUGGAUGCCAUGACAACACCAUUGUUUAUCAUGGCUUUAACAUAUCAUAGCUUUAGUGCUCAAAAGGCGUCUCUUGCCUCAUGAGUGUUUCCCUCAUUGACUACGAGAUGGUAUGAUGCACGUCUACAUGUGAAGUACGUUGGCCUUCGAGCCAGUGGGGUGGCUGGAGAUCAGUUGUGUGGUGGUUUCUUGGUGCUCUGUGUUUUCUGGGUUCCUUGAUCCGAUUCCCAUGUCAUAGGAGUGAUCAUGACCUUGGGUUUUGAGUCAGGUUCAGACUCUACUGCCUUUGACCUAUGCCCAUAAGGAGAGAGCUAGAGGGUGCGGCCUAAGGGGAAUAGAACGAGCAUAGUGAUUAGCCGCCGGGCCCUCAGUGUGUGGAGGGAAUCGUUUGCGACAGAGCGGAAGAUGAGGGCGUAUGACCGUGGAACUGCACAACAUGCUGCAGUUAUACGUAGCGGUCACUCGAGACUCGAGCGAGUGCUCUAUCUAAUGACUAAGAGUUCUGGGGCCAGACCGACAUGAACUCGUUUUAAAACACGGACUCAAGUGAAACAGGGAAACAGUGUUGUGCACGUGGUGCAUCCCCCCCCCCUCCCCCAACCACCCUGCUGGUGUAGCCGCCUCUCGCGGUGGGCAGAGCUCCACCACAAGCAACAGUGUGCGUUUAGAAUUCAGUUUUGUUAUGGCAGGGAACAAUGAGUAUAGUGCCCCUUGGGUUGUGUUCACAGUGUUCAGAUGAUUCCUUUAAGACACUUCUGUUUGAAACAUGAGGUACAGAAACAGCUGGUACCAUGAGAUCUGCAUAAGGGGGAGGGCUGGGUCCCUUCGCAGACAUACGCACUGCUAGUGAUCGGCCAUCGAGGACCGAAGGGAGGAAUGCUGGUUGAACCUAGACGGCUACAAGUACUCACAUAGCCACUCAUAGCCAUUCACUUAGCCCCUCACCAAGCCACUCACAAAGCAAGGUGCUAAGCAAGCCACGAAGCAGGCCACUAGGCAAGCCGCUAAGCAAGCCGCUCACUAAGCCACUUACCAAGCCACUGUCUCAGGUCUCAUCACUGCCCCAUUGGCCUUCAGUUAGCUGUCUCAGCCUUAAGACACGAUUCGUCCCUCCUUCACUUGAGUUUCCUCUCCCAGAGAAGAAAAUAUAGACUAGUAUCAAUCACUUCUAAAACAGAUACUAAUACCUUUAAGAGGGAAAGCACGCACACGUAGCUCACAAAAUACAGAUCUAAAAAGUGCAAAAGUGCAUAUUGUCCGAGUCCAUGUGGUGUGUGGAGGUUAGAAUGAUGCCGGUGGACACAGGAGGACGUUCCCCACACUCAGGAAGAGAAGGUGUUGGUUGGACAGACCGGGACGGAGGAGUGGGUUGCAGGGGGGAUUGAAGAGGUAGGGCUUUGCAUCAGUCACGUUAAACGAAAAAAAACAA